Passer montanus (Eurasian tree sparrow) is the source of this 417-nucleotide long non-coding RNA. RefSeq lists it as uncharacterized. Lineage: Eukaryota; Metazoa; Chordata; Aves; Passeriformes; Passeridae. The record is from RefSeq and is a predicted model, not a curated record. The transcript has 3 exons.
CACAGCUUUGCCAAAUGAAUGCUUCCUCCUGCACGUACAUGUUCACAGCAGAGCAGCUGGACAGGGGCUGAACCACUCAUCACAUUUCUGAUGCAGGCAGACUGAGUGCACUCAGAGCAAGAGAGUCGAUGAGAAAAACCAGAACCCGGAGUGUUAUUUUCAAUGGGAAAACAAUAGGAGGGAAGUUAGGUAAAUGAAAAGGAGGAAGGAUGGACUGAGGAAAGGGAAAAGACAACACAAGCAAGAGGAGAAAGAAAUAUCUCUCUAGUGGUCACCAACCCCAAAGUCACACCUGACCGCCUGGUGAACUGGCAAAAGUUGGCACAACUGAGCUGGUUGCUCUCCUGUUCUCCUUCCUGCAGAAUAAGCAUUCAGUGGUUCCACAGGCCAGUGGUUUUUAAAGAAUAAGCAUUGUGU